Numida meleagris (helmeted guineafowl) is the source of this 826-nucleotide long non-coding RNA. RefSeq lists it as uncharacterized. The record is from RefSeq and is a predicted model, not a curated record. The transcript has 3 exons. NCBI's taxonomy places the organism in Eukaryota, Metazoa, Chordata, Aves, Galliformes, Numididae.
UGGGUAUCUUGACUGCAGGGCCAAGAAGCCGCUCAGUUUUGAGCUCCUGCAUUAGACUAGCCUCAGUGGGGUCAUUUCUACAUCUCAUACAUUGUGUAUGGCUCUUGGCAGCACUUGCACCAGGCUGCUGUUCUUGCUACAGACAUAUAGAGAAUUUUGGUUUGAUACCAUUUCCUCAGUGAAUUUUCCUGUGCUUCUGCAUACUGAAAGAAUUGUGGGAAGGCAGGUAGGGAGUUACCAGCACCGGUGUGAUUGAGCCUGCAACCUCACUGCAAGGUGGGUGAAUCACCAAUGCAAAAAACCCACAAUUCUUGGCCUCAAGUUUAUACAUAUGCACUUGUGCCAGCUGGUGAGAAGACCGUGUGGGUGGGUGGAUGGAAGAGUAGGAGCAACAGCUGAGAAAAAAAAGGGCUUCAACCAUACUUGAGGCAAGAGAGUUUACUGGAAGUUUUUGACCUCACUUACCCUCUCUGUGGUGGCCACAAUUGCCGCCAGGCAGCAGCUUCUCAUCCACUGCAGUUCUCAGCUAAAAAAUGGAGGAAUGUGUGAAUGCCAGUGUGCUUCAAGCUGGACGUGUAGGCAAGCAGGAUAAGAGAUGGGCGUACCAGCAAGAUUGUGAACCUUCAUGCACAGUAUGUCUAGGGAGCUGAGGAAACUGAGGAACCUGGGACCAGCUACUGGAAUUAAUCCAGAUAAUGCGGAGCUGCUGAUCAGUCACUGAAAUACAAUUAUAGUAUAUUUUGUAAGAAAUGACAUCUUAAUAGAAAAGUUUCCUCACCCCUCAAAAGAUGACUGCUGGGAUCCACUGCUGGAGUGAGAAGGGAAG